GUCUAUUUGCAUAGUGAGGAUUAAUUUUUCAAUUACAGCUUCAGGUGAUGAAGUCAUUUACCCCCAGUUUGCUCCCCCUCAACUCAGUUUUGUUUAUAUUUCCCAGGGCCUGAGACAGUGAGGUGUCCUUGAUUCCCAGGCCUGGAGAGGAAUUGUUGUGUCUGAGCAAAAUGGGAAAAGCAGCAGCUCACACUGUGUGUGGAGUUAUACAGAGUUAUUUCCAUUUAUAUUAUUAUUUAUAUUUAGAGUUAUGCACUGAAGAAUUGCAGUGUAUGAACAGGAUAACAUAUGAAAAAGAGAAAAGCUGAAAUCCUGAGGCAUCACAAGCCCCGUCCGAGCUGGCUUUAGACACUUCCAGGGAUGGGGCAACCACUUCCCCAACGCGGCACAAUAACCCGUGUCCCAACGCCGCCCUGCACGGCCUCGCCCAGCCGUGCCACGGGCUUGUCACGGAGCCUGGCACCUCCUCUGCCAAAUUACCACCCCGCUGCCUUUUGGCUGCAGUCCUCACCCCGAUCCCAGAACCUACACGAACCAUCUGCACCCCUCGGGGCUCCCAAAAACCAGCCACAGCUCCCGGGACCACGCAGGUGGCAGAGAUCCAGCCUGGAACCUGCCAGACGCGGCGGGGUUUUUUUUGGGGGGGGAUGCUGUGUCCAAAAGUCACAUCAGCGGGCAGGAAAGUCUUACAGCGCGGUGAGAAAUCCACGGGAACACAAGCAGGACGCUGCGCCUCGCGUCAGGCUCUGAUAAAUUUUUCCCUUGACUCCUGCCCGGGUGGAAUUGCUGCAGCCGGAGCCGGUCUGGAAUGGCUCGGAGGAGCCUCGUCAGGUGUUCAGGGCUUGUGGAAACUAGGACAUCCUGACUUGCCGCUGGCUAACUCCUUUGGAAAUAAAUCACCGCGCGGGAUCAUAAAAGUCAUCAAACGGCAACCUGGGGUGAACCGAGCCGCAGAUGGAGGGAAGGGCGCGGGCGCCCGGAAAAUGAGAGAGUUUUCCCAGCCCAGGCUCCAUUCCCUCGCGUCCUCCGGAGCAGGGCGGGACGGCGGCGGCCGGCGCGGGGCUGGAGCGGGCGGCCGAGCCCGGAGCGGCGGAGCGCGGGGCCCGGAGCGCCGGGAAAGGGCAGGUACGUGCGGCUGGGAGCGACUCCCGGGCUCGGCUCUGCCAGCUCCGCGUGGAGAUGGAGGAGGGGGAGAGGGAAACUGAGAGGAGGGGGCUGCAGG
This 1222-nucleotide long non-coding RNA is filed under the name Cyanoderma ruficeps (rufous-capped babbler). RNAcentral describes it as "lncRNA (ENSCRFG00000012704.1)". The record is from RNAcentral. Lineage: Eukaryota; Metazoa; Chordata; Aves; Passeriformes; Timaliidae.